GAUGAACGCUGGCGGCGUGCCUAAUACAUGCAAGUCGAGCGAACAGACGAGGAGCUUGCUCCUCUGAUGUUAGCGGCGGACGGGUGAGUAACAUGUGGAUAACCUACCUAUAAGACUGGGAUAACUUCGGGAAACCGGAGCUAAUACCGGAUAACAUGUUGAACCGCAUGGUUCAACAGUGAAAGACGGUCUUGCUGUCACUUAUAGAUGGAUCCGCGCCGCAUUAGCUAGUUGGUAAGGUAACGGCUUACCAAGGCAACGAUGCGUAGCCGACCUGAGAGGGUGAUCGGCCACACUGGAACUGAGACACGGUCCAGACUCCUACGGGAGGCAGCAGUAGGGAAUCUUCCGCAAUGGGCGAAAGCCUGACGGAGCAACGCCGCGUGAGUGAAGAAGGUCUUCGGAUCGUAAAACUCUGUUAUUAGGGAAGAACAAAUGUGUAAGUAACUAUGCACGUCUUGACGGUACCUAAUCAGAAAGCCACGGCUAACUACGUG
This 497-nucleotide ribosomal RNA is filed under the name uncultured bacterium. RNAcentral describes it as "partial 16S ribosomal RNA". It matches the Rfam family "Bacterial small subunit ribosomal RNA", at positions 28 to 507 of the family's 1533-position model. The record is from RNAcentral.